RNAcentral lists this long non-coding RNA (3699 nucleotides) under Fragaria vesca (wild strawberry). Its description in RNAcentral is "long non-coding RNA (FVES_LNC000581)". The record is from RNAcentral. Lineage: Eukaryota; Viridiplantae; Streptophyta; Magnoliopsida; Rosales; Rosaceae.
AAAAAUAAGAGCAAACGAGUAAUUUUAAUAGCAAACGGGUAAUGUUAAUAUACAUUGACAAUUGUGCUUAGUAAAAUAUAUCGGUAAGGAUUAGAUCGAUGAUUUGACUAUAUAUUAGCUGGUCCCCCCCUAAAAGAAACCAUGGCUCCGCCUCUGCUCCUUCUAUACAUGGUAUCCUCUUGGGCUCCAUACCUAGUACUUCUAAAGUGAUGAUCAUGAUCUUAGGAGGCAUGAUCUUAAUUUUUUUCAUAUGAAAAAUUGUUCAAUCCUCCCACUGUAGAAGAAUGUACAUAUUCAUUGAGAUAUACUAGGGGGAAUUACUCAUCUCUCGAAUAUUUGUUGGAACGUGAUUUUUCUUUAUGUGUAUUUUUUUUACUAGAUAUAUCUUUAAUAUAUUGAAGAUAUAUCAUAAAUAUCCUAAAUAUCGGAAAUAUUUCAUAUAUAUCGGAGAAAUAUCGGAGAUAUUUGACGGUAUUUGUCACACCCCAAAUUUUAGAUGAAUAAAAAUUCCAAUUUCAAGGCAUGAUAAUUUAAAAGAAAAACAAACUUUACAACAUUUUAGUUUUACAACUUGUGAAAGAAUAAUUUGAACAAGAUAAAACCUCCCUCAAUACUCACAAAAAACUAGAAAGUAAACACAAGGAACAAGCCUAACUGUCGCAGCCUCAACUCUGCUAAUCCUGACCUGCAAAAACAACCUCUACACCAAGGAUUGGUGCACCGGGUUGUAAACAACAAACCCGAGUAGUUUUAAAAGCUCGUAUGAGUAAAACUCUAACAACAGACUCAACCCAACAACACAUAAGGUAAACACCAAGAGUUCAUACCUUAAAAAUAAAUUCAGGAAAACACUUACAAGCAAGAGAAAUCAAAAAAAGAAAUUAAGAAAACACAACAAUUCACAAUCAUUCAAAAUCAUAAAUGAAAUCCUGCAAAAAGUAUAGUUCAGGAAUUCCAUUAAAAUCACACAAUUAAAAUUAGAGAAUCUCCUGCGGACAAGCAUAGUUCAAGAAAUACUCGAAACAAAGAAAUUAAAUGACAUCAUAUAAAAAAUCACACAAUCAUUUCUCUACUCUUACUUAUGGGUUCGUCAACGCAAAGUCAUCCCCCAUAAGUAACUAGACAAACACGUACUCAUGGGUUCGUCAACACAUACUCAUCCCCUAUGAAGUACCGACAGACUAGAGCUCUAUACUGACCAUAACCAAUCACCCGGUCAAGGCUUGGUUCCUGGUCCACCACGAAAGCUCCUAAUCUAAUGCACACAAUCACCACUAAGGCACACAUAUUUCAACAUCAUGAUAUCACAUAAUCAUGACGUGCCUUUCACACAUAUACACGUGAAUAUAAAUAUUUAAAACAUGAAUAAUCUACCAACUCAAAUUAUGACUCACUUUUGAAAGAUUAUUAUUAACAAAAAACUUGUUUUCACUUACCAUGAGCCGUUGACGAUCAAGCUCAUUUAUACUUAAAAACAAAAUCAUUUUCCUUCAAGGACAACUUCACAAUUAGCUAUAAUAAACUAUAAAGUAAACUCGGUUCUUUUACGAACCCAUGUGAGAUUUACUCACAAUAUAAUAAUAUCAUCAUCACCAAAAUCAUUAUCAUCAACAUCAUCGUCAUAAUAAUUAUCAUAAUCAUCAUCAAAAUCACCAUCAUAAUCAUCAUUAAACUCAACAUCACAAUCAUCAUCAUAAUCAUCAUCAAAAUAAAUAGGUCACAAAUUGGACCUUGGUGAGAUUUUACUCACCUUUAGGCCAUCUCCAGCAGGAGAGGGUUAUAUUGGGGCCAGGGCUAUAAUUUAGCUCUCAAAAAUAUUAUUUUUUAUUUAUAGACUUCAAAAUGAUCUCUAAUAAGAGAGGGCCAAAUUUGAGCUCUUUUGAAUAUUUUAUGAUUUCACUUUAUACUUUUUAAUAUUUUUCACUUUAAAUACAAAUAUAUUGUCACACUGUAGCACAUACGAGUAGGUAUCAUAUAAUUUUUCACUUAUAGAUUUAUUUUAUUAUAACAUUAUUUGAAUUUGGACCAAAUUACUAAUAUUUAAAUUAACUAUUAUAUUAAUAAAAUAAGAUAGUAGCCAUAUGAAUUUUGGAUUGAGAGAAUUUACCGGUUGUAAUGAGAUGAGAAUGAAAUAAUCCAAUAGAAAGUUGACAAUUGUUAUAAUUUGAGUAUUCAUCAAUCAACCAACAUGCAUACUUUUAGUUUUUUUAAUUUCAUUUGGGACCACAAUUUGGUUUGGCCUGGGCUAGCCAAAGGGCUAUGUUUGGCCCUUUUGAUGGCCCUUUGGCCCUCUUUUGAGUUCUUAUUGGAGAUCAAAAUAAGGCCAAAAUUUAGGAUUUGGCUCUAUAACCUCUAUCACUGGAGAUGGCCUUACUCCCGCUGCGUUUUCACACAAACACGAGCGUCUAGCUCAAAACUAAACUCCACAAGUCACCCUAUUAACAAAAAAGUUAACCUUAGUAACUGACAAAUACGACUUUUACACUUGUUUUCAUAAGCUCAACAUGACAACCAACAACACUAACACUUUCAAACGUGCCGCCACGGGCAGCGGCGUGUGGGCCCCACGCGCCCCCUAAGAACUUCACAAAACCCUAACAUGCUCAAACAACUCUGAAAACUACACUCAACAUGCUCACGUGCUUGUAUCGACGAGCACAACCUAACAAAGACUACUGACCUCCCAAUCCCCUCCCGGACGCACCGCCACGCGCCACAACCGACGGCAGCUAGUGGGCCCCAUGCACCACCCCAAAACUUCAGAAUUUAGGCAAACUCAAAACAUGAAACUUGUAGAUUGAAACAUGGUGAACAACUUUAAUACCUGAGGUUUUAACCAAUUCGGCCGGAAAACACCCCAAAACUCCAACACGGCCUCAAGCUUCAAUAUGCAAUUUUGGCGCUCAAAACCUCAAUAUCUUGCUUCAAACUAUGCCUAGCCACAACCAGAAGGAAGAGAGGAUCAAAACUCACCUAAGGUUGCUCCUCAUCGCCGCCGCAAACGGCGGCUCCGAUCAACGGCACGGCGGCAGUGGCUUUCGGGCUAGGCUGCGCCUUAUACGCCGGUCACCAGCGUCAAAGACCAACACGGUUGGGUAGGUGAGGACGAGACCAAUCGAAUGGAAUCGGUAGCGGCCAAAACGAUGGCCGGACGACCGACCUCUGCUCCGACGAAAUGCAGCAGCUCCUCCACCUCGUGACGGCGUCAGGCGGAGCGACGGCGAGCAACAGUGGUCCAUGAAUGGAGAGGACACCCGUGCGAACCGAACGGGACCGGCGACGUCUAGUUUGGUGGCCGGACGGCCGAGUUCUAUGUCGGCGAAGGUCCAGCUUUGAGUGCAGCUGGGGGAGAGAGGAGAGAGAAAAUGGAGGCUUUUCUGAAUUCUAGGGUUCCCUCUUUCUAUUUAUACACUUUCCAUACCCGGAAACUAACUUCCUCUGACCAUAAAUUUCUCAUACGAAGUCCGUUUUACGCGUGCCACGUGUCUACGAACUCGUAUCGUCGUGCUCUACAACUUUCAUGAAGGAAGUUUCUCGAGAAACCCAACGAAUAAAAAGUCAACUCUAUGACCCUUAAAGAAUAAAGAAUCGUUUCGGUAAUUUAUGCGUCUGAACACUUCCGCCCUUUCUUCGAACCUAAAAAACACACUAACUUCUAACUCAAAAAUUUCCAAAUAAUAUUAGAAACUAAUAUCAAAU